UGGGAGGUCCUUGGGCCUCACAACACACAUAUUGUUAAGGCCUUGCCACCUAUUUCAUGGCAUCUAAUUAUUAUAUAUU
This is a small nuclear RNA of Gorilla gorilla gorilla (western lowland gorilla), 79 nucleotides long. The record is from Ensembl. NCBI's taxonomy places the organism in Eukaryota, Metazoa, Chordata, Mammalia, Primates, Hominidae.